AGCGAACGCUGGCGGCAGGCUUAACACAUGCAAGUCGAGCGGGCACUUUCGGGUGUCAGCGGCGGACGGGUGAGUAACGCGUGGGAACGUGCCCUCUGGUUCGGAAUAACUCAGGGAAACUUGAGCUAAUACCGGAUACGCCCUUCUGGGGAAAGGCUUGCUGCCGGAGGAUCGGCCCGCGUCUGAUUAGCUAGUUGGUGAGGUAACGGCUCACCAAGGCGACGAUCAGUAGCUGGUCUGAGAGGAUGAUCAGCCACACUGGGACUGAGACACGGCCCAGACUCCUACGGGAGGCAGCAGUGGGGAAUAUUGGACAAUGGGCGCAAGCCUGAUCCAGCCGUGCCGCGUGAGUGAUGAAGGUCUUAGGGUUGUAAAGCUCUUUUAUCCGGGACGAUAAUGACGGUACCGGAUGAAUAAGCCCCGGCUAACUUCGUG
RNAcentral lists this ribosomal RNA (435 nucleotides) under uncultured bacterium. RNAcentral describes it as "partial 16S ribosomal RNA". It matches the Rfam family "Bacterial small subunit ribosomal RNA", at positions 29 to 507 of the family's 1533-position model. The record is from RNAcentral.